CCCUGCCCGCUCUACCAGAAGCCAGCAAACUCUAGCCUGUGGGCCACAUCGGGCCCACCACCUGCUUCAUGCCUCUCACAAGCCAAGAAUAUAUUUUGCAUUUUCAAAUGAUAGAAGAAAAAUCAAAAGAAGGCAAUUUAAUGGCAGACAAAUAGUGACACAUUUAAUGCAAAUUACCUGAAAUUAAAACUUCAUUGUCCAUAAAUAAGUUUAUUUUUUUUUUCUUUUUCAGCCACACCUGCUGUACAUGGAAGUUCCCAGGCCAGGGAUCAAAUCUGAGGCAGAUUGUGGCAACAACCUAAGCCACAGCUACAGCAACACCAGGUCCUUAACCCACUGCAGCACAGUGGAGACUCCCACAAAUAAUGUGUUAUCGGAACCCAGCCAUGCUUCUUUGUUGAUGCAGUCUGUAGUUGCUUCUGCAUCACAGUGGCAAGGCUGAUAGGUCUGAGAGGAGACGAAGGCUUGCAUGACCCACGAAGACUAAAAUGUUUGCAACCUGACCUUUUCCAGGAAAAAAAAAAAAAGUUUGCCAAUCCCUGUCUGUACAGUUGGAGGCUUUUAGUAACACGUUCCCACGCUGUCAAAUGGAUUUCCUGGAUGGACACGGCCUAGGCGUGGCUCCAUUUACAAUGAUUGGGAGGGUCCGGGUAGUUCUGAGCAUUUUCCAGUUUGAAAACUGGGCUUCGGGCAGGGCGUGGAGUCAGGCAGACAUCUCACCUGAAGGGCCUGGGGAGUCACACAGGUGUGAAAGGACUGGCCGGGUUGGCGGUGGCUUCACCUUCGGGAGGAGACCAGAGGAAAGCGCCCCUGAUGAAGCCUUUGCUUUCACGGGUGCCGUUCUUUUUAAUUAGGGUGUGGGCUGGUGAAGCCCAGCUCCACCCCAGAGGCAGCAUGAGAAGGGGGUGGAAUCCAUCAGACAUCAAACAAAUGGCUUUGGAUGAGAGCAUCUCACCGGCAGCACAUAUCUAAUCGUGGGGCUCAUCGCUCCCCACGGGAGCUCAGGAAAUCAAGAUGCGAUUCGAGAUGGCAUUUCCAACCUCCCCCGGAAAUGGGGGGAAAUCCGUCUUAUUUAUUAAUUCCAUCUUGCCAGCUCCCCAUUUGGUGCAAACAGUUAUGUUUUGCAGCACGUUUCCACCUUGCAACUAGCAGAGUUAAUUUAAUGAAAUGAGUAGUCUUGUGAUGACCUGAAGGGGAAAAACACAUUAAUCUGGAAACUAUCAAAGCCGUCUGACAUGUAUUAUUGUAGGACUCAGAAAAAAUAAACAGUUUAUGUAGAAGAUUAAGUGGCAGUGUGGAUUUGUUUUUGACAUAUCUUGUCUCCAAAUCUAAGUUGGGGAUUUAUUAUGGCGCUAUCAUGUCACAGCUAUCUCAUUUAUAUGAUAACACAUCUGUAAUGUUUUACAAGUGCAGCACUACUUGUUCAAAAUGGGGCUUUUUUAAGUCCUAAAUUAUAGUACCUGGAGAGGCAUGCGUAAUUAUAGUGCAUGUUAGCAAAUGAGAGGGUGCCUUUUCCACCCGCACUCAGCAUUAAUCGUCAGCACAGUGGGUGCAAUAAAAUCAUAAUUGCUUCUUCCAAACUUCUCAUCUGAGCUGAGCGGGUCGAAGUCGGUGAUUUGGUGGAGAGAUGCCGACUGUCACGGUAGAUGAACGCCUCACCCCCAUCCUGGCCGAGAGUCCCUGGAUUGCGUGGUUGCAGAAGGCUCUAGUUCAGGCAGAAAGCCAGACCCCACCAGGGCUGCAUAUUGAGGUCCCCUGAUCUCAAUUAUACUCUCAAAUCAGGGUAUCAAAAAACACUGUAGAAUGAACAGCAAUGAUGGCGGUCCUGGUUUGGGGAACUGGGUUUGGAUGCGAGCUCCGCUUUUUCCGUUUUGGACAAGUUGGCUCACAUCUCUGAACAGUGGUUUUUCUCCUCUGUAAAUGAAAGAUGGAGGCCUCUAGCUCAAAGUGUUCUUAAGAUGAUGAACAACGUUUAUAAAGCACAAAAUACCCACGUGAUGAAAUUAGGCAUCAUUCCAGUUCUCACCGAAAGAUCACGCCUCAGCCUUUGCCGUCCAGGAUGGCUGCCACAGACCGUCUGUGGCUCUAGAGUUCUUGAAACCUGCCUGCCUGGUGGAGAAGGGCUGCACAUACAAACUACACUCCCGUCUGGGAAGAUUAAUUAUGAAAAAGAAUAUAAAAUACAUCAAUAACAUUUUAUAUGGAUUACAUUUUAGAGUGCUAAUGUUUUGGCUGUAUUGGCUUAAAGAUAUUAAAAUGAGUUCCACCUGUUUCUUUUUACUUUUUAUUGUGACUAGAACAUUGAAAAUUAUACAAAAGGCUCAUAUUAUGGUUUUAUGGGACAGCACUGGUCUAAACAGAUGACUGCUGACUGAAAUGUGAUGUUGAGUAUGUGUUUUGAGUUGCAACUCAGGGUUCCUGGUUUCAGUAUUAUUGUUCUCAUUGAUUUAGGCGCAGCAUAUGUUGGGAAAAAAAAAUUUAGUGUAUUUGCUCGAGAGCAAUGGAGGAUGGCAAUGAGCCACCUGAUGGACUGCAAGCUCCCUGGCAGCAAAGGCAAAAACAGCACAUACGCGGAUCACAUGUCUCUUUUUCAAAGGCGGAGGGUUCCUAUAAGUUCCUUUGAAAAGCAAGGCUUCCUCCUGGUGCAGAAUUCUCCGAAGGCCGUGGAAUUGCAGACACACCUCCCUCCACCUCUCCAUCCUCCCCACACAAAACUUGUGCGGACCUAGAAGGCUGUGACUCAUCUGAACGCAGUAAUGACGCCUCCCUUGGUUUAUGUAAACGAUCUGGUCUGAUCCUUGCAGCAGCCCUGCAGGGUGGGCUGUGCAAGGACUAUUGUUCAUUUUUCACGAAUCAGGAACCUGAGGAUCAGGUAGGGCCUCAGGGCCUCGUUCCAGUUGUCAUCGCCAGUAAGUGGCGAGGCCAGGGCUGGCUCGUGGCCCCAAGUGGACACUCCCUCGGCUCCUGGCAGUCAUGUACACCCUAGUGUGAAAGAAAGCUCAGAGGAGUGACUGAUGGGAGAGUGCAGGGGUGUCAGGGCCCCUUACGAGAAAGGGGACCCACAAGCAGCUGGGGGCUCGGGCACUCUAAGGACAAACUUCACUCUAGCCAGAGAGACCAGGUCACUGUUUAUACACACGCAUUCCUUUAUUUUCCUCCCUGCGGCUCGCCCAGCUCAGCAUAUCCUCUGCCUGGGCCCCAGGGGACCGCUGACAGCAGCGCACAUUAACUCGCUCACCUCUGGGCUUGGCUCUGACCCUAACGCACACACCACACCAGUCCUCUGGGACCUUGUCCCAGCGCAGACUUCAUCCAGAGGCCUGGGGAGGUGGCUGAGCGCUCGCACGUCUCCCAGGCUGUCCAAGGAGUAGAGCACUGAUUCUCAGCCUUGGCUGUAAACGAAAAUCUCCUCGGAGGCUUCUGAGCAAACCCCACGCCUGAGACCCACUCUAGGUCAGUGACGUGAAACAGUUCCUGGGUGUGGGGCUCCCAGUUCCAUGAUCUUCUCGUCUCCCGAAUGCUCAAGAAUGGGUCACGUUAGACGACUCACUUUGUGAACAGCGGGAUCAGGAAGCUUAGAUACCUUCUCCCCGCCAGCAGUUGCCCGGGUACCCCACAUCUGAGCACUGGUUAUGCUGAGAGUCUUUUCCCCCUUUUCCCCCUAAAACAAGGUCUCCCACACCACCCAGUCCUUGAAUUCAUCCUUGAAUUCUUCUCUUGAGUUGCCACCUGCCUGCAAUGCACAGACCUCCCUAGGGCUGCAGCAGGCAAGGUGCUGGCUUUCUCUGCAUUUGCAUUCAGGUAGGUUAAUUGCUGAUGUAGGUGUGACCAAGAAGAGUGACAGAGCCAUUUCAGCGAGUCAUAAGUACCAAUGACAGAAGUCAUGGCACUGACGGCGCUCGAUGCUGAUGACUUCUGUGGGGUGAACUCAGUUCCACAAAAUGUUGGCUGGAAAACAUGUGUAAAGAGAAGGCUCUCUGGCAAGGGGGUGGCCCUCCGGAGAGGAUUUUCUUUUUCCUGUCCUGUGAGAUGCUUGCCUUGACUCUAAGCCCGAAAUGCCCGAGUCAGCUCAGCCGACGUCCACGUCGUGACCAAAGAAGAUGCUGCGGGAAGUUGGGGGACUAGGGACCAGCCUCAUGAAAAGCUGAGGAGGAUUCUAGUAGCAGGGGACCCCGAGCUCACGGGUUGUGCUGGCCACCAGGACCCCAAUGUUGGGACAUGAGCUCUUUCAACGGGGGCAGCUUUUAGAAACAUUGUCAGAGAAUUGGAGAAACAUCUCGAUUUUGGGGCCCCCUGCCAACCUGGUUCACCAAAAUCUGCAGGGUGGGAUAUGAGUGUCUGCAGAUGGAUGUUAAGAGCAGCUGGCAUGACUGAUGCAACCCCUAGAUUGAGAAGCCCCCGUCUAGACCUCCAGGGCAGUGACAAUAACCAAACCUAAAAGAUGCAUUGUCGGGCCUCCUCUCUGCCCAACAAAUAGCUCACAUCGCCUCUCUAAAGUACAGGCCCGGUCGUCAACGCAGCCUCCAGCAUUCCCGGGUCACUCCCUUUCUUUUCCUUUUGAAUAAACAGCUGGCGAACAUGACAUCAAUUUAACUGUAAUGACUGCUUUUAAUUUUCAUUUUAAAUCUAUACCAUUACUAUAUAUUGGGAUCCCGGCUGGUGCCAACUGCUCCGGCCACACGUCUGGUUUUCAUUUAGUCUCUGAGUUCCUUUUGGGUAGUUGUGUUCAGAGGCCUGGUUUAAUGCAUAACCGUAAUUGCAGUGUGGAAUUAAGUUGGUGCUGACUGUAGCGUUUUCAGCCUUAGAAUCAAGGAAAGUAUCUAAUAGGGGGGGAAAGAAAAGCCUCUCCAGGGUUCCGCCCCUCCAGGGCCUUAUCUUUAUAAAUUUUUUACAUUCAACUUUUUUUUUUAAUUGAGUGCAUAAUAUGGCUAUAAAACAGCAGUUGAGAUAAUGCGGUCAGCCUGCUGGUUUAUAUAUGUCUCUUCUCGGUUUCAGAAUGUCCCCUUCUCUUCUCCCCUGUCUGACACUGGCCUCGUUUCUCAUUAAAAAUGCUGGCAGCUGGGAAGUGAGGACAGAAAGGCAGGCUGAGGUCCUUCUCCCAAGUUGAGUUCGGCACUGAGUGGCUCCUGGAACCCUCAAAGCUUUUGAGGGAGGCUGCGUUUGCCAGCUAAUCGUUAUUUCCAACAAUUGUUGGCUGGCGAUCCCCGGUGAGAAGGAUUAAAUGCAGUGUUUUCACAUCCAGUGUAUAAGGGGAAAAAAAGAUUCUUCUCUGCGAUGGCUUGAUGAACUAGGACGGGGCCACAAGGGUGAAAACUUGCCCGUGUUUCUAGUUCAUGGGAAGAUGCAGCUCAAAGGAGAUGCGGAAGGGAGAUUGAGCAGGGGAUGGCGAGGAAGCGGAGGUGGUCGGCUGUCUUGGGCUGGGAGGGAGGGAAAAUUAGGACCAGUAACACUGCCCAACCUGGGCCUUGAUGCAUAAUCCUCACUCUACAAAACGUUUGCCGAUUGCAAGGUGGUCAUUGGCGUGGAUGCGUUGGUGCUCCUCCACGUUAAUUCCCUUCCCUUGGCUUCUUUCUUCCCUUUGCCUCGUCAUGCACUCAUUCGAUAUGCUGUUUGUUGAGCAAUUGCUGUACCAGGUGCUGGGGCUGUGGGAAACCUCGGAGAUAACACAUGAGCAAGAGAGCCAUGUCCUGCCUUCCUGGACCUUCUGGUCUAGCGAUAAAUGACGGAGAAUCCAGGUGGUUCUUGAAGGAGCAGGGAGAGAUGCUGCUGGGUACCAGCAAGUGUCUGACCCAGGUUGAAGUGGCUCAGUCCCCGCCCAAACCAUCAGCACAUGGUCCCCCCUGAUCACGUUUUCCUGGCCUCAUGCCUGAGGCUUGACUUGGAGGCUGAUGUGAGGUUAUCACCUGGGAAAUUUUGUGUUUGCCGAAAGGAUAUUGUGGGAGAAUAUUCUGAGGCUACUGCGGUUUCCUUUUAUGUAGACCCACAGCAGAGGUUUCUCUCUGGUCUCCAUACCAGGAAAUGCUCUACUUCUCCUGUGGGGUACCUCAGGGGCAGUGCCAGCUUUGUCACUGAAGAUGUGGGUUUCCGUGGAGAGCUAGGAUUUGCACCUCACUUUUGAAAACCACACCACAUCGUAGCGUGAACUGUUGAUCAGUCCAUACUAACCUGAUGAUAGUAUUUCUACACCCUUAUUUUAUCAUUUUACCCUAUUCCUUUAUUUAAUUACUUUAUGUUUUAUCUUUUUUUUUUUUUUUUUUUUUUUUUUUUUUUAAGAAACCAUCUCACAUCCACCAGGAACAAGGAAAUGAGGGAGGGAGGCAGAAGUUUGGUUUCUGCUGAGAACUUCCAGGCUAGUUGAGGAGCAA
Molecule: long non-coding RNA, 6365 nt
Filed under: Sus scrofa (pig)
Lineage: Eukaryota; Metazoa; Chordata; Mammalia; Artiodactyla; Suidae
Description: lncRNA (ENSSSCG00000060944.1)
Source: RNAcentral